GAUGAACGCUGGCGGCGUGCCUAAUACAUGCAAGUCGAGCGAACGGACGAGAAGCUUGCUUCUCUGAUGUUAGCGGCGGACGGGUGAGUAACACGUGGAUAACCUACCUAUAAGACUGGGAUAACUUCGGGAAACCGUAGCUAAUACCGGAUAAUAUUUUGAACCGCAUGGUUCAAAAGUGAAAGACGGUCUUGCUGUCACUUAUAGAUGGAUCCGCGCUGCAUUAGCUAGUUGGUAAGGUAACGGCUUACCAAGGCAACGAUGCAUAGCCGACCUGAGAGGGUGAUCGGCCACACUGGAACUGAGACACGGUCCAGACUCCUACGGGAGGCAGCAGUAGGGAAUCUUCCGCAAUGGGCGAAAGCCUGACGGAGCAACGCCGCGUGAGUGAUGAAGGUCUUCGGAUCGUAAAACUCUGUUAUUAGGGAAGAACAUAUGUGUAAGUAACUGUGCACAUCUUGACGGUACCUAAUCAGAAAGCCACGGCUACUACGUG
RNAcentral lists this ribosomal RNA (496 nucleotides) under uncultured bacterium. RNAcentral describes it as "partial 16S ribosomal RNA". It matches the Rfam family "Bacterial small subunit ribosomal RNA", at positions 28 to 507 of the family's 1533-position model. The record is from RNAcentral.